This 514-nucleotide ribosomal RNA is filed under the name uncultured bacterium. RNAcentral describes it as "bacterial SSU rRNA". It matches the Rfam family "Bacterial small subunit ribosomal RNA", at positions 50 to 564 of the family's 1533-position model. The record is from RNAcentral.
AACACAUGCAAGUCGAGGGGUAGACGUCUUCGGACGUUGAGACCGGCGCACGGGUGCGUAACGCGUAUGCAACCUGCCUUCCACAAAGGGAUAGCCCAGAGAAAUUUGGAUUAAUACCUUAUAGUAUUACAGAAUGGCAUCAUUUCGUAAUUAAAGAUUUUAUCGGUGGAAGAUGGGCAUGCGUCCCAUUAGCUUGUUGGUAAGGUAACGGCUUACCAAGGCAAUGAUGGGUAGGGGUCCUGAGAGGGAGAUCCCCCACACUGGUACUGAGACACGGACCAGACUCCUACGGGAGGCAGCAGUGAGGAAUAUUGGACAAUGGGCGCAAGCCUGAUCCAGCCAUGCCGCGUGCAGGAUGACGGUCCUAUGGAUUGUAAACUGCUUUUAUACGGGAAGAAACCCUGGCUCGUGAGCCAGACUGACGGUACCGUAGGAAUAAGGAUCGGCUAACUCCGUGCCAGCAGCCGCGGUAAUACGGAGGAUCCAAGCGUUAUCCGGAAUCAUUGGGUUUUAA